This 450-nucleotide ribosomal RNA is filed under the name uncultured bacterium. RNAcentral's name for it is "partial 16S ribosomal RNA". It matches the Rfam family "Bacterial small subunit ribosomal RNA", at positions 354 to 796 of the family's 1533-position model. The record is from RNAcentral.
GUGGGGAAUAUUGGACAAUGGGCGAAAGCCUGAUCCAGCCAUGCCGCGUGUGUGAAGAAGGUCUUCGGAUUGUAAAGCACUUUAAGUUGGGAGGAAGGGUUGUAGAUUAAUACUCUGCAAUUUUGACGUUACCGACAGAAUAAGCACCGGCUAACUUCGUGCCAGCAGCCGCGGUAAUACGAAGGGUGCAAGCGUUAAUUGGAAUUACUGGGCGUAAAGCGCGCGUAGGUGGUUCGUUAAGUUGGAUGUGAAAGCCCCGGGCUCAACCUGGGAACUGCAUCCAAAACUGGCGGGCUAGAGUACGGUAGAGGGUGGUGGAAUUUCCUGUGUAGCGGUGAAAUGCGUAGAUAUAGGAAGGAACACCAGUGGCGAAGGCGACUACCUGGACUGAUACUGACACUGAGGUGCGAAAGCGUGGGGAGCAAACAGGAUUAGAAACCCGGGUAGUCC